CUACAGAGUCCACAUCCACACUAGCCUAACCCUAAAUAUCCUUCUCCGAUCUCCUCCCGUCCCCAACUAUUAGCCGCCGCCGCUCCACCUAUCGUCCCCGCGCUUCUCCAUGUCGUUGCCGGCGGCGCCAGCGCUGAACCACCCCGCAUCGGAGCCCUGCCCUACUACCCCACGCCAUGCCCCUCCCCAUUCAGACCACCCCCUUGAGCUACGGCGGCCCGGUCCUACCCCUGAGCCAUGGCGGCAGUGGCGGCGGCUGGACAAAGUGCCGGAUUUGUAAGUCCCCGAGGUCACCGGCUACGGGGGUGCUGGAUUUGGAAGUCCCUUAGGUUGCCGGCGGCGGGAACGGAUCCAUCUCCAUCCGGCGGCGAGCGAAGGCGAGUUACAGGAGGUGGCUACAGUGCCCUGGAUCCAGAGUAGAUGGACGGCCCUUGUGGCCGGGUCCAAUUGUCCGCCAGCCACGCCGACGUUAGUCCCCUCAUCAUCGCGGCCGUCUUCUCCAUCCAUGGCGCGCGUCUCCUCAAGGCAAUGCUGUGGAGGUAAUAUUUCACCGAAGGUAAUAUUGUGACGUAGUGUAGCUAGUAAAAUAAAGUUCAUUCAGAGUUUGCUUUUAAAACAUCUGAUUUAGAGGCUAAAGCAGAGGAGAAAUAGCUAAGUCAGCUAGCUUAGACAAACAGAGGAGAAUCCUUUGUGUUUCAUAUUCUUAGAGCAAGUCAGCUGAAACUCUGAAAACUUAGGGUGGACAUUGGCGAGUGCAUUCUUAUUUGUUCUUUUCCUGAUAGUUUUUUGUAACAAAAUAAUACUAAUCUGGAAACAACCAAACAGUACACUUAAGGGAUACAUUUUCCAUAGCCCACUGAUUCAUCUACCCGAUCUAUACAUAUAAACCAGACAUUUUUUGUGACUGCAUACGUCUAUACUCAAUAGUAAUAUUUUCCCCAUCCUCGUUGAUUUGUAAAGGGAGAGCACAUAAAUAUUUUGCAGAGGCGCACUAUGCAUCUGAUAAAUAAGCAAAAUUAUGAUUUUAAAAAGGCAAUGUAAAAAUAUCCUCUAGAGAAAAUGUUAGUGUAUAGCUAUGGCGUGUUUUAGUUUGUACUGAUAAUCUGUUACCACGUCUAAAAUUGCCUCAUAGACAUUCUUUUGUUUUUACUGAUAUGUAUUGUUAUCGUAUAAAAAGGGAUCUUUUGCUGUUGUUGAAAGCAAGGUAUUACUAACUGACAAGUUCCAUCGAUUGUGUGUCUCCUCAAGACAAUGUUCAUAAAGUCGCUGCUUCUGCCAACUUCUGCCUUGCCGCUGCAUGGAGUCGCCUCGCCGCCGCCAUAGCCGCCCAUUGUCACUUUCCAGCAAGGUGCACACACGCACCCAACAUCCAUCCAUCCCUAGGGGAGAUCAGCAUGUGAACAACCACGGCCAUUUCUCUUGGCCAGCACAAGCAGUGCCAUCGGCAGUCAAGACAAGCAGCCAACAACUGGAGAAAGUCCUGAAUCUGGUUAAGAGUUUUCUUGUUGGUACAUUUUUUUGACUUAUAUUUGUUGUUUAAGGUUCAAUAACACUGAAAUAACACAUGUGUGCGUAAAAGAUAUGUCUGCAGAAGAAGACAAGCUGUGUGGUAGUUCACGUUUUUGACUUAUAAACAGUACAUCUCCCACCUGAUCGAUGCCGAUGCCACAGUCCUCGAGCAGAACAGGAUUUGGUAGUUAAUCCAUGUUACUGGAGAUUGAAGUUUUUUAGCAGGAAUUACUUGGCUUCGGAUAGCUGCCUUCAAUCGUUGCUGUCGUUGGAGAUUAAAAUAUGUUAGCAGUGCAUUUUCUUUUAAGUCAUGUAACUCACUCUUUAAAAAAACUUAUAGUGCUUUCUAGAUAUGCUCGUGAUGUUUUGAUAUUAGCUUUGCUUUUUCAAAUCAGAUUAGAUUGUUGGAAAUCUGUAUUGUCAUGUAAACUAUUGCUAUUUUUGAAGGAAUGUAGUUUGGUUGUCUUGUUGUAAA
Triticum urartu is the source of this 1984-nucleotide non-coding RNA. NCBI's taxonomy places the organism in Eukaryota, Viridiplantae, Streptophyta, Magnoliopsida, Poales, Poaceae. The record is from RefSeq and is a predicted model, not a curated record.